Long non-coding RNA from Engraulis encrasicolus (European anchovy), 933 nucleotides. RefSeq lists it as uncharacterized. NCBI's taxonomy places the organism in Eukaryota, Metazoa, Chordata, Actinopteri, Clupeiformes, Engraulidae. The record is from RefSeq and is a predicted model, not a curated record. The transcript has 2 exons.
AUUGAUUUAUUUAUAUUAGGUGAUACACAAAGGUACAAAAAGUAUAUCUGAAGCUUUUAUACUAUCAAUGCUUAUUGAUAUUUCGUAGGAUUUUGUUUUAUGACUUUAAAAGUGUAUGUUAACCCUAGUUGUUUUCAAAACGAGACAGCUAGUUCAUUCAUUCAAAGACAUGGAGAACUACAUUGGCUAUUGUAGUAUUUCCUAAAUGCUGUUAAAAUAUGAUGCCAUCCGAUACAUGGAGGAAGUGCAGUUGAAUAAAAAUUAUCUACAUUGUGCCCAUUUUAACAGCCUUGUUUACGUUAGCUUGCUAGCCAGCUACUAGCAAACCGGUUGACUGAAGCAAACUUGUGUAAAGUUAAACGUAGGUCUAAGUGUUCAAAUACUCCUAUGAAACGGCUAUAUUGGUCUGAAUUUGGCUCGUGGUACACUUUUACACGGAUUGGUGAUGCUCUCAACAGGUUUGGCACCAACUGUGUUUUUAACGGUACAAAUCCUAAAGCGGUGGCAUCAUGUUCUCCUCACGUUAACGAAAUCCAGGCUAAUUAUUUAUUAGCAAUUAAUGGAUGGCCAUGAACUGCGCCCUCGUCCCAUGCUGUCCAUCAUUGGUGAAUGAAUGAAGUAGCUGGGCUCAUAGUUUGAUACAGAUGUCCGUGGUUGGGCUACAAAUAUCUGAAUUUGUCCUUAAUCUUGUGCAACAGUAAACAGGUGGAAUUACCUCUGGGUCGGACAGGGCUAGCCAGCUGUAAUCCACCCUGCUACGGUGAUGCCCGCCUGCCUCCCGGCUUUUACGACCAAGAAUCGGAGCGCUGAUGUGAUGUUUCCCCGUCGACUGAUGAGGGAAGGAAGAGAAGGCAGCCACGACACGCGAUUGUUCAACAUGACAGUGAGACAGAAAAAUAAUGUCAAGAUAAAUAAAAAAUCAUGAUGAGUGAA